GACGAACGCUGGCGGCGUGCUUAACACAUGCAAGUCGAACGGUAAGGCCUUUCGGGGUACACGAGUGGCGAACGGGUGAGUAACACGUGGGUGAUCUGCCCUGCACUUCGGGAUAAGCCCGGGAAACUAGGUCUAAUACCGGAUAGGACUGCGCGGUGCAUGCCGUGUGGUGGAAAGAUUUAUCGGUGCAGGAUGGGCCCGCGGCCUAUCAGCUUGUUGGUGGGGUAAUGGCCUACCAAGGCGACGACGGGUAGCCGGCCUGAGAGGGCGACCGGCCACACUGGGACUGAGACACGGCCCAGACUCCUACGGGAGGCAGCAGUGGGGAAUAUUGCACAAUGGGCGCAAGCCUGAUGCAGCGACGCCGCGUGAGGGAUGACGGCCUUCGGGUUGUAAACCUCUUUCAGCAGGGACGAAGCGUGAGUGACGGUACCUGCAGAAGAAGCACCGGCCAACUACGUG
Molecule: ribosomal RNA, 462 nt
Filed under: uncultured bacterium
Lineage: Bacteria
Description: partial 16S ribosomal RNA
Rfam family: Bacterial small subunit ribosomal RNA
Source: RNAcentral